UCUCCGUUGGUGAACCAGCGGAGGGAUCAUUACCGAGUUACAACUCCCAAACCCCUGUGAACAUACCAUUUGUUGCCUCGGCGGUGCCUGCUUCGGCAGCCCGCCAGAGGACCCAAACCCUUGAUUCUAUACAGUAUCUUCUGAGUAAAUGAUUAAAUAAAUCAAAACUUUCAACAACGGAUCUCUUGGUUCUG
This 194-nucleotide unclassified non-coding RNA is filed under the name plant metagenome. RNAcentral describes it as "partial contains small subunit ribosomal RNA, internal transcribed spacer 1, and 5.8S ribosomal RNA". The record is from RNAcentral.